AGUAACACGUAUCCAACCUACCCUUUACUCGGGGAUAGCCUUUCGAAAGAAAGAUUAAUACCCGAUAGCAUAAUGAUUCCGCAUGGUUUCAUUAUUAAAGGAUUCCGGUAAAGGAUGGGGAUGCGUUCCAUUAGGUUGUUGGUGGGGUAACGGCCCACCAAGCCUUCGAUGGAUAGGGGUUCUGAGAGGAAGGUCCCCCACAUUGGAACUGAGACACGGUCCAAACUCCUACGGGAGGCAGCAUG
This 245-nucleotide ribosomal RNA is filed under the name uncultured bacterium. Its description in RNAcentral is "partial 16S ribosomal RNA". It matches the Rfam family "Bacterial small subunit ribosomal RNA", at positions 109 to 353 of the family's 1533-position model. The record is from RNAcentral.